Molecule: ribosomal RNA, 503 nt
Filed under: uncultured bacterium
Lineage: Bacteria
Description: partial 16S ribosomal RNA
Rfam family: Bacterial small subunit ribosomal RNA
Source: RNAcentral
AUUGAACGCUGGCGGCAGGCUUAACACAUGCAAGUCGGGCGGGGUGAUGGUGCUUGCACUAUCACUUAGCGGCGGACGGGUGAGUAAUGCUUAGGAAUCUGCCUAUUAGUGGGGGACAACAUCUCGAAAGGGAUGCUAAUACCGCAUACGUCCUACGGGAGAAGGCAGGGGAUCACUUGUGACCUUGCGCUAAUAGAUGAGCCUAAGUCGGAUUAGCUAGUUGGUGGGGUAAAGGCCUACCAAGGCGACGAUCUGUAGCGGGUCUGAGAGGAUGAUCCGACACACUGGGACUGAGACACGGCCCAGACUCCUACGGGAGGCAGCAGUGGGGAAUAUUGGACAAUGGGGGGAACCCUGAUCCAGCCAUGCCGCGUGUGUGAAGAAGGCCUUAUGGUUGUAAAGCACUUUAAGCGAGGAGGAGGCUCUUUUGGUUAAUACCCAAGAUGAGUGGACGUUACUCGCAGAAUAAGCACCGGCUAACUCUGUGCCAGCAGCCGCCGUAA